AAUACAAGGCUAUCUUUUUUUUUGUUCUACAAUUAAUCAAAGAUCGUAUAUAAAUUUAAUAGAGUACUGUAAAGGAAUUAAUAAUUUAAAAAGUAGUAUUUUACGUACCUCGUGCAUAAUGGAUUUACAAGACAAAUUAUGAUUUAAAGGCCCGAAUUCUUUGGGAGCUGAACUUAGGUUGUUAAGAACCAAUAGAUAAAUGUUUCAAUAUUUUCUAAAAACCUUAAUUCAGAGGCUACAUACCUACCGCACAAGAAUAUAGCUGGUUUCCACAAAAUUCUAUAUAUUAGAGCAUCUGUUACAGACUGUAAGCCAAUAAAAGAUAAGUUUUAUUGGUAAAUCAAUAAAUAAGAUUUAGUUUAUCUUCCUAGUAGGCCUAAUAUCAGCCAACUAACAAUACUUUAUCGUACAGGACAACACCAUAAAUCAUUGUUUUUUUUAUGAUAAUAAUAGGUGGAUACUAUACAAAACCAUUAGUAUAUUUAAUUAUGUAAAUAUAAGUAUUAAAUAAAAUAUAUGAAAGGAACUCGGCAAAUCAUUAUUUCGACUGUUUAACAAAAACAUUUCUUUUAGAGAAUAAUAUUAAAAGUAUGCCCUGCCCAAUGAAAACUUUAAUGGCCGCGGUAUCCUAACCGUGCAAAGGUAGCAUAAUAAUUUGUCUAUUAAUUGUAGACUAGAAUGAAAGGGUAAACGAAAUAAAUACUGUCUCUUAUAUAAAACUAAAAAUUAUCUUAUAGGUGAAGAGACCUAUAUCAAAUUAAAGGACAAGAAGACCCUAUUGAGCUUUACUUAAAAUAAAGGUAAACUAUAUUAUAGUUUGGUUGGGGCGACCUAGGAAUAUUCAACAUCCUAAACUCUAUAAGACUUAUAAGUCAAGUACUUGAUCCAAUAAAUGAUCAAUAAAUUAAGUUACCUUAGGGAUAACAGGCUAAUAUUUUUCUAGAGUUCUUAUCAACAAAAAUGUUUGGCACCUCGAUGUUGGCUUAGGAAUUCACUAUGGUGCAGAAGCCAUAAAUGAAGGUUUGUUCAACCUAUAAAAUCCUACAUGAGCUGAGUUCAGACCGGCGUAAGCCAGGUUAGAUUCUAUCCUUAAUUUAAUUAUUACUUAUAGUACGAAAGGACCUAAGUAAUGCUAAUAUAGCAAUAAACCCCUUUAUUUUUUU
This 1163-nucleotide ribosomal RNA is filed under the name Placobdella lamothei. RNAcentral's name for it is "large subunit ribosomal RNA". The stretch from base 734 to 1097 matches the Rfam family "Bacterial large subunit ribosomal RNA", at positions 2049 to 2651 of the family's 2925-position model. The record is from RNAcentral. Lineage: Eukaryota; Metazoa; Annelida; Clitellata; Rhynchobdellida; Glossiphoniidae.